Molecule: ribosomal RNA, 206 nt
Filed under: uncultured bacterium
Lineage: Bacteria
Description: partial 16S ribosomal RNA
Rfam family: Bacterial small subunit ribosomal RNA
Source: RNAcentral
UGUCGAGGCGGUCAUGUUAGUCUUUCGUAAAAUCCAGGAGCUCAACUUCUGGCCCGCGAGAGAAACGGCAUGACUUGAGGUAAGGAGAGGUGCGUGGAACUCACGGUGUAGGGGUGAAAUCCGUUGAUAUCGUGGGGAACACCAAAGGCGAAGGCAGCGCACUGGCCUUAAUCUGACGCUCACACACGAAAGCCAGGGUAGCAACG